Molecule: ribosomal RNA, 524 nt
Filed under: uncultured bacterium
Lineage: Bacteria
Description: partial 16S ribosomal RNA
Rfam family: Bacterial small subunit ribosomal RNA
Source: RNAcentral
GACGAACGCUGGCGGCGUGCUUAACACAUGCAAGUCGAACGGACAGACAGAGAGCUUGCUCUCUUGAAGUUAGUGGCGAACGGGUGAGUAACGCGUAAUCAACCUGCCCUUCAGAGGGGGAUAACAACGGGAAACCGUUGCUAAUACCGCGUACGAUUCAUGAACGGCAUCGUUUAUGAAUGAAAGGUGGCCUCUAUGUAUAAGCUAUCGCUGAAGGAGGGGAUUGCGUCUGAUUAGCUAGUUGGAGGGGUAACGGCCCACCAAGGCAAUGAUCAGGAGCCGGUCUGAGAGGAUGAACGGCCACAUUGGAACUUAGACACGGCCCAAACGCCUACGGGAGGCAGCAGUGGGGAAUCUUCCGCAAUGGACGAAAGUCUGACGGAGCAACGCCGCGUGAGUGAUGAAGGUCUUCGGAUUGUAAAGCUCUGUUAAUCGGGACGAAAGAGUUCUGCGUGAAUAAUGCAGAAAGGUAACGGUACCAGAAUAGAAAGCCACGGCUAACUACGUGCCAGCCGCCGCCGUAA